This is a non-coding RNA of Coemansia erecta, 72 nucleotides long. The record is from the annotation of a GenBank genome assembly. Lineage: Eukaryota; Fungi; Kickxellomycota; Kickxellomycetes; Kickxellales; Kickxellaceae.
GGGAAGCUAGUAUAAUGGCAGUACUCUCGCCUUUUAAGCGAAGCAGUGUUGGUUCGAGUCCGACGCUUUCCA